GAUGAACGCUGGCGGCGUGCCUAACACAUGCAAGUCAAGGAGAAGGUAACCUUCGGGGAACCGGAUACUGGCGCACGGGUGAGUAACACGUGGAUUAUCUACCCUUUACACAGACAUAACUCAGGGAAACUUGAGCUAAUAUCUGAUGAGGCCUCCGGGUCAAAGCUUCGGCGGUAAAGGAUGAGUCUGCGUCUGAUUAGCUAGUUGGUAAGGUAAUGGCUUACCAAGGCGACGAUCAGUAACUGGUCUGAGAGGACGAUCAGUCACACUGGAACUGAGACACGGUCCAGACUCCUACGGGAGGCAGCAGUGAGGAAUUUUGGACAAUGGGGGAAACCCUGAUCCAGCGACGCCGCGUGUGGGAUGAAUGGGUUAUGCCCUGUAAACCACUGUCAGCAGAGAAGAAAAGGUUCCUUUGGAACCCGGGACUGUAUCGC
This 437-nucleotide ribosomal RNA is filed under the name uncultured bacterium. Its description in RNAcentral is "bacterial SSU rRNA". It matches the Rfam family "Bacterial small subunit ribosomal RNA", at positions 28 to 482 of the family's 1533-position model. The record is from RNAcentral.